This 341-nucleotide ribosomal RNA is filed under the name Brevibacterium sp. sri-1. Its description in RNAcentral is "bacterial SSU rRNA". It matches the Rfam family "Bacterial small subunit ribosomal RNA", at positions 56 to 396 of the family's 1533-position model. The record is from RNAcentral. Lineage: Bacteria; Bacillati; Actinomycetota; Actinomycetes; Micrococcales; Brevibacteriaceae.
UGCAAGUCGAACGCUGAAGCCCGAAGCUUGCUUCGGGUGGAUGAGUGGCGAACGGGUGAGUAACACGUGAGUAACCUGCCCCUGAUUUCGGGAUAAGCCUGGGAAACUGGGUCUAAUACCGGAUACGACCACCUGACGCAUGUCGGGUGGUGGAAAGUUUCGAUCGGGGAUGGGCUCGCGGCCUAUCAGCUUGUUGGUGGGGUAAUGGCCUACCAAGGCGACGACGGGUAGCCGGCCUGAGAGGGUGACCGGCCACACUGGGACUGAGACACGGCCCAGACUCCUACGGGAGGCAGCAGUGGGGAAUAUUGCACAAUGGGGGCAACCCUGAUGCAGCGACG